GCAGUUGAAAAGCCCCGCUCCAAUCGCGUCACGGUCGCCUGGCCCCGCCCCCGUCUCCAUGGAAACCCGCACCGCCGAACCACUUGUCAGCAGCUGCUCUGGAGCCUGGCGCCUGCCUUGCGCGCCCUGUUUGCCUCACGCGGACGGUGCUGCCCAGGCUGUCCCCGACUCAAGACACCGUAAUGUCUAUCCACCGGUCGACUCCUGGGCCCCUUCCCCGCGGGGCGGGCAGUAGGGCACGGCGGGGGAUCUUCUAAACAGCAUCAACUAGAUUGCAGCCAUCUGACCCCUGCUCACUUCAACAGCAUUCAUUUCUCCUUCACCUCUGCUCAUUUUUGGAUCUUUCGGCAUUUUCCCCAAAUACACCAGCCUUCCCCUGCUUCUGUGGUUCAGCUGGGCUGCCUCCCUCUGAUACCCUCUUCCAGUGCUUAUUGUCUGGGCCAAUGAUUCUUCAGUUCAUCACAUCCAGCUCAGCACAGACCGAGGUGUUCAGGAAGUGCUUGUGGAGUCAAGGCAUGAAAUAAGCUAUGUGGGCCCAGGGCAAGAGGAGUGGCAUGAGGCAGUCCCUGAACAUCGUAGUCUGUACUCCACUUCCCGGACUUGUGGCUCCCUGGAUGAGCAGAGUAGGAAGAAGAGGAAUUUGAGAUCCCAGCCUCUCAUGUGAGGACAAAAGGAGAAGUAAAUUAUGGUAAUAUAUGUUCUGGUAAGAUGUGACAUGUGUGAAUCACUAGUUCAUUCAUUCAGUAAAACUAUAUUCUGUGCCUACUAUGAGCCAGGCACUGUGAUAAACUCUGGGGCUAGAGUUGUGGACCAAAGGAUAAGGCCCUUUUCUCACAGAACUCACAUUCCACUCGAGGUGAUGGAGACAGGGGUAGGGCAGACAACAAGCAAGGAAACCAGAAAUUAUAGGAGGCCAUUGAAAAUAACAAUAAAUGU
Molecule: long non-coding RNA, 936 nt
Organism: Symphalangus syndactylus (siamang)
Lineage: Eukaryota; Metazoa; Chordata; Mammalia; Primates; Hylobatidae
Source: RefSeq, a predicted model, not a curated record